Small nuclear RNA from Ursus americanus (American black bear), 105 nucleotides. The record is from Ensembl. NCBI's taxonomy places the organism in Eukaryota, Metazoa, Chordata, Mammalia, Carnivora, Ursidae.
GCUCCCUUUGACAGUGCAUAUAUUAAAACUGAAGCAAUACGGAGAAAAUUGGCUGGGUUUCUGAGCAGAGAUGACUUGGACACUCAUGAGGCACUUAUAUUUUCA